This 25-nucleotide non-coding RNA is filed under the name Drosophila melanogaster (fruit fly). The record is from RNAcentral. Lineage: Eukaryota; Metazoa; Arthropoda; Insecta; Diptera; Drosophilidae.
UGUUCACUCCGAGUCACCUGUCCGA